Molecule: long non-coding RNA, 1129 nt
Filed under: Coturnix japonica (Japanese quail)
Lineage: Eukaryota; Metazoa; Chordata; Aves; Galliformes; Phasianidae
Description: lncRNA (ENSCJPG00005014333.1)
Source: RNAcentral
GGGGGGUCUCCAAGAAGUGUGUGUUGGUGAGCAUGGGGAGCAACCCCUCAGCUUUCCCACUGCCUUGGCCUUGUCCUGCUUGGGGACUGCAGGGCGGGAAACAUCCCUGAGGCACAGCUGCAGUGUGACUGGUCCCAUAGGGCUGGGCCACUGCCUGGCGUGUCUGAGCCAGGGUGGCAAAACCAGCUUGACCACACGGGUGGCUACACUGCCUAUAUCUUCAGCUAGUCACUGUCUGCAAGUAAUAUUUCUUCCUUUGCCUAUUUUCUGUACCAAUGUGCAAAGUGGAUGCAAGGGAUGAAGAAAAGGGAUAACAAGAACAGGAUGCCCUGAGAAGCUCAGAAUUCCCCUUUUCCAGAAAUAUUUAAGGCUUCCCUCAGUCAAACUGUUUAUUUGCAAAAAAUAUGAAGGGGUUUUCUCUGGGCCCUGAGGAGAAUAUACACCACAUCCUGAGGGAGAAGGGACAGCAGCCAUGACUGCAGCAAACUACAUCAGCUACAUGCAUGCACUCAACUUCCUGUCAGAAAGUUCCGGAAAUGUUUGUCCUGUGUUAGGGAAGCUACUGAACUAUCAUGGAGGGAGGGGUCACUACAGUUACAAGCAAGAAAUUAAGCAUCCAAGUACAUUAAGUACACUUUUCUAACUCUUCAGUGUUUAUGAAGUGGAUGUGUGGAGUAAAGAUACAGAAUAUUCUCAAGUGGAUGUGACUCCUAUCUUACCGCUUCCAUAAGAUCGAGAACUCUACUGAAGGUGAAUCACAUGUGUAGAAGAAAUGAAGCUAAAUCAAAGAGCAGCUUUACGUUCAGCUCUGAACACAGCCAACGACGCAGUAACUUGCUCUGAGACGUCUUGUGUGAACCACCUUGUGCCACCUCUCUCCUGCAGUUCAGCCCACACGGUCCAGAAAAGGGCAGGCUUUCCAAGAGCGGGCUUAACUUCCAAUAUGAUGAUUGCAAGAAAAAUCGCUGCUGCUGUCUAGGGUAACUGGUAAAGUGAUUUCUAUCUAACCGCUAACGUUAACUGGUAUUUCAGCAACAUUCACAGGGUUUCCUGUGAGGUUCAGCUGACUUCACAGUCUUUUUCAAAUAAUUGGGCAUAGAAAUGAAAUAAAACAGUUUGGUCAUAUACA